UAGGGAAUCUUCGGCAAUGGACGAAAGUCUGACCGAGCAACGCCGCGUGAGUGAAGAAGGUUUUCGGAUCGUAAAACUCUGUUGGUAGAGAAGAACGUUGGUGAGAGUGGAAAGCUCAUCAAGUGACGGUAACUACCCAGAAAGGGACGGCUAAAUACGUGCCAG
RNAcentral lists this ribosomal RNA (165 nucleotides) under uncultured bacterium. RNAcentral's name for it is "partial 16S ribosomal RNA". It matches the Rfam family "Bacterial small subunit ribosomal RNA", at positions 355 to 511 of the family's 1533-position model. The record is from RNAcentral.